Long non-coding RNA from Prionailurus viverrinus (fishing cat), 1367 nucleotides. RefSeq lists it as uncharacterized. NCBI's taxonomy places the organism in Eukaryota, Metazoa, Chordata, Mammalia, Carnivora, Felidae. The transcript is spliced from 4 exons. The record is from RefSeq and is a predicted model, not a curated record.
CCGCCUCCUCUACCGCCGGCCCCCAAAGCCCUUUUGUUUCCAAGAUGGCCUCCGAGCUCUGUUUUAAUACGCACGGAACAAAGCCUAUUGAACACCCUUAAGCUUAGCGGAAAGCGAGAAUUGUAGGGAAACUAAGGCACCAGGAGGUCGAGUAGUUGCCGGAAGCAUCGCAGCUAGUAAAUGAGGGAAACGGAGUCCAGCCCAGGCAGUCUAAGGAGAGCCUGCGCCAGGCUGCCGCUGUGCCACAUACUGCCUCCGAAAACACAGCAGGGAGUCCAUGAUGUCUUCUAAUUGCAGCACUUUUGGGGGGACGAGCGUGACAGCUGUAAAUGGAUGAGAUGUUCCAGGGAACUGAUCAAGACCAGCUCCUGGGGGCUGUCUUCAUGAGAAGAGCCAGGGGAGAGCAGGAAGGCAACCAAGAAGGUGAUUGAGAAGAAAUGGUAAAGCAGUCAGAAGAAAGCAAAGAGUGUGCAAAGUCAGAAAGGGCCAGGCCCCAAGAGUUAUAGGAGGUGAGUGGUCAGUGUGAGGUGCAGGAGAAAGGCCGAGAAACGUUUGAGACUGUGGGUCAUAGUUUUAUGGAAGGGGUUUCCUGGUGGCAUGGCUUCCCGAGGACUGUAUUGGUCUGUGUGACGUGAACAUGCCCUUGAUCCUACAACCUUUUUGUUUGUUUGUGCCUUCGGCUAAGGGAGAAGAGAUUGGCUUAUUGUGCACAUGUAACAUUCAGCCACAACUGAGAACAGAGCUAACCCAGGAUGUCACAGGUCCAAGGCAAAGGACCAAAGAGGACUGUUUAGUAUUUUGAAAGAAAUUCAAGACUUUUUAAUGUUUACGAAGUCAGGCUGGUGUGGUAGCCAGCCUUCAAGAUGGCCCCAGUGAUACUCCCCCAGUCUGGUAUUCCUGCUCUCCUCUGGUCUCCCUCAUACAGAACAUGGCUGAUCUGUGUAAUCAGGAUGUGUGGCAUCUGAGGCUAGAUCAUAACAGACAUUACAAGUGCUGCCUUCUACCUCUGCUCUCUCUUGAAUGACUCACUCUGAGGGAAGCUAGCUACCCUAUUGUGAAGACACUCAGAUAGCCCUAUGUGAGAUCCAUCUGGCAAGGAACUGAGGCCUCCUGCAAACAGCUUUGUGAGUGAACCAUCUUGGAAGAGGAUCCACCAGCCCCAGUCAAGCCUUCAGCUGACAUCGUGACUACAACCUCAUGGGAGACCUGGAGACAGAAUCACAAAGCUAGCCUGCUCUGAUUACUGACCUACAGAAACCAUGUGAGAUAAUACAUGUACAUUUUUGUUUCAGCCACAAAGUUUUGUGGUGAUUUUUUAACAUACUAUAGAUAACAGUGGGGUUUCUAUCUUUUGUAAUAGAAAAACU